UACGGAGGGUGCAAGCGUUAUCCGGAUUCACUGGGUUUAAAGGGUGCGUAGGCGGGCAGGUAAGUCCGUGGUGAAAUCCCCGAGCUUAACUCGGGAACUGCCAUGGAUACUAUUUGUCUUGAAUAUUGUGGAGGUGAGCGGAAUAUGUCAUGUAGCGGUGAAAUGCUUAGAUAUGACAUAGAACACCAAUUGCGAAGGCAGCUUGCUACACAGUUAUUGACGCUGAGGCACGAAAGCGUGGGGAUCAAACAGG
Molecule: ribosomal RNA, 253 nt
Filed under: uncultured bacterium
Lineage: Bacteria
Description: partial 16S ribosomal RNA
Rfam family: Bacterial small subunit ribosomal RNA
Source: RNAcentral